RNAcentral lists this ribosomal RNA (496 nucleotides) under uncultured bacterium. RNAcentral describes it as "partial 16S ribosomal RNA". It matches the Rfam family "Bacterial small subunit ribosomal RNA", at positions 28 to 506 of the family's 1533-position model. The record is from RNAcentral.
GAUCAACGCUGGCGGCGUGCCUAAUACAUGCAAGUCGAGCGAACGGACGAGAAGCUUGCUUCUCUGAUGUUAGCGGCGGACGGGUGAGUAACACGUGGAUAACCUACCUAUAAGACUGGGAUAACUUCGGGAAACCGGAGCUAAUACCGGAUAAUAUUUUGAACCGCAUGGUUCAAAAGUGAAAGACGGUCUUGCUGUCACUUAUAGAUGGAUCCGCGCUGCAUUAGCUAGUUGGUAAGGUAACGGCUUACCAAGGCAACGAUGCAUAGCCGACCUGAGAGGGUGAUCGGCCACACUGGAACUGAGACACGGUCCAGACUCCUACGGGAGGCAGCAGUAGGGAAUCUUCCGCAAUGGGCGAAAGCCUGACGGAGCAACGCCGCGUGAGUGAUGAAGGUCUUCGGAUCGUAAAACUCUGUUAUUAGGGAAGAACAUAUGUGUAAGUAACUGUGCACAUCUUGACGGUACCUAAUCAGAAAGCCACGGCUAACUACGU